AUUGAACGCUGGCGGCAUGCCUUACACAUGCAAGUCGAACGGCAUCGCGGGAAAGCUUGCUUUCCUGGCGGCGAGUGGCGAACGGGUGAGUAACACAUCGGAACGUACCGGCUAGUGGGGGAUAACCCGUCGAAAGACGGGCUAAUACCGCAUACGCUCUUCGGAGGAAAGCAGGGGACCUUUGGGCCUUGCGCUAGUCGAGCGGCCGAUGUCCGAUUAGCUAGUUGGUGGGGUAAAGGCCUACCAAGGCGACGAUCGGUAGCGGGUCUGAGAGGACGAUCCGCCACACUGGGACUGAGACACGGCCCAGACGCCUACGGGAGGCAGCAGUGGGGAAUCUUGGACAAUGGGGGCAACCCUGAUCCAGCAAUGCCGCGUGGGUGAAGAAGGCCUUCGGGUUGUAAAGCCCUUUCGGCAGGGAAGAAAUCGGCGGGGCGAAUAACCCUGCUGGAUGACGGUACCUGCAGAAGAAGCACCGGCUAACUACGUG
RNAcentral lists this ribosomal RNA (490 nucleotides) under uncultured bacterium. Its description in RNAcentral is "partial 16S ribosomal RNA". It matches the Rfam family "Bacterial small subunit ribosomal RNA", at positions 29 to 507 of the family's 1533-position model. The record is from RNAcentral.